CCAAGGAUCCGGAAUGCACGGACGGUGUUAGUGGGGGAACAGGAAGUUCCGGGAAGGCGCCCACCAUUCUUCAGUAUAGAGAAAUCGCCAGAACGAUGUGGUCUAGAAGAUAAUCUUCGUGUCCGUUUCUAUUUAUUACUACAGAUUAAGUCUGAGGCCGGUAACAUCAACAGUGAGGACAAACCCAGCCUGCCUCUCUCCUUCCACACUGAGUCCAAACCUACAGUCACUGGGUACUGAUUGUGACAGUGGAACCCAGUUUGCACUGCAGGAUACAGAGAUGGCAUCAGUGAAGCUGGAAGACUGCAGUCAAACACUGGAGCUGAAUGCCAACAUUAAAGAUGAAGAAGAGGAGGAGAAGAUUGGGACAUCUGUUUCUCCUGGAAAAUGCCACGGGCACUAUCUGAUGUGUGGAGACAUUUCACUGCAGCUAAUGUAGAAGGAAAAGCUGUGUACAUGUGCAAAUACUGUGCCAAAUCAUAUGUGAAGAAUGCAGCAAAGAUGCAGAAUUAUCUGGCCAAGUGCAUAAAGUUCCCUCAGCGCUCACACAAGCAACCUCUGACAAAAGUCCCUCUACUUCUAUUCGUGGUGAAAAUUAGGAAUCAGUCACCUUAUCGAUAGCAACAGCUCAUGGUCCUCCUGGAAUCAGAUGUUUUUGUUGACUCAUUGGAGGAACGUAGUCAGAGAAAUGCUGAUGAAUGUCUUGCUCGAGCUGUGAAUGCAACUGGUUCACCUCUGAUGCUCACAGGCAAUGUGUAUUAGAAUAGAUUUCUGAAUGUUCUUCACCCAGCAUACACCCCUCCAACCAGACAUGCUUUAUCUACUAAUUUGCUGAAUACAGAGUUCAAGUGAAGGUCCAGCAAAUCAUAUAUUGCAAUCAUCUCUAAUGGGUGGUCGAAUGUUUGUGGGCAAGGAAUAAUUAACUACAUCAUCUCCAUCCCUCAACCAGUAUUCUACAAGAGCACAGACACAAGGGACAACAGACACACCAGUCUCUACAUUGCAGAUGAGCUGAAGGCAGUCAUCAAUGACCUUGGACCACAGAAGGUAUUUCCACUGGUGACAGACAAUGCUUCGAGCAUAAAGGCUGCUUGAUCUACCCUCACAUCACACCCAUUGGCUGUGCUGUUCAUGCAUUGAAUCUGCACCUCAAGGACAUCAUGGCACUGAAAACAAUGGAUACACUCUACAAGAGAGCGAAGGAAAUGGUUAGGUAUGUGAAGGGUCAUCAAGUUAUUGCAGCAAUCUACCUCACCAAGCAAAGUGAGAAGAAAAGCACCACAUUGAAGCUGCCCAGCAACAACCUGUUGGGGUGGUGUUGUCAUGUUUGACAGUCUCCUGGAGGGGAAGGAGUCUCUCCAAGAAAUGGCCAUAUCACAGUCUGGCGGUAUGGACAACGCCAUCAAGAGGAUCCUCCUGGAUGAUGUAUUUUGGGAGAGAGUGUUAAGCAGCCUGAAACCUAUAGCAGUAGCGAUUGCACGGAUUGAAGGAGACAAUACCAUCCUGUCUGAUGUUCAGACUCUGUUUGCAGAUGUAGGAGAAGAAAUUUCUACUGCCCUGCCCACUUCACUGUUGCUCCAAGCAGAGGAAACUGCAGUUCUGAAAUACAUUAAAAAAAAAACAUGAAGACUUUUGCCUGAAGCCCAUAUACGCCGCAGCGUACAUGUUGUACCCCAAGUAUGCUGGCAAGAGCAUCCUAUCUGGUGCAGAGAUCAAGGCCUAUGGUGUCAUCACUACUGUGUCUCGCCACCUUGGCCUGGAUGAGGGCAAGGU
RNA transcript from Salmo salar (Atlantic salmon), 1773 nucleotides. RefSeq lists it as uncharacterized. NCBI's taxonomy places the organism in Eukaryota, Metazoa, Chordata, Actinopteri, Salmoniformes, Salmonidae. The record is from RefSeq and is a predicted model, not a curated record.